This 253-nucleotide ribosomal RNA is filed under the name uncultured bacterium. RNAcentral describes it as "partial 16S ribosomal RNA". It matches the Rfam family "Bacterial small subunit ribosomal RNA", at positions 524 to 776 of the family's 1533-position model. The record is from RNAcentral.
UACGUAGGGUGCGAGCGUUGUCCGGAAUUAUUGGGCGUAAAGAGCUCGUAGGCGGUUUGUUGCGUCUAUCGUGAAAACCUGCGGCUUAACUGUGGGCUUGCGGUGGAUACGGGCAGACUUGAGUUCGGUAGGGGAGACUGGAAUUCCUGGUGUAGCGGUGAAAUGCGCAGAUAUCAGGAGGAACACCGGUGGCGAAGGCGGGUCUCUGGGCCGUAACUGACGCUGAGGAGCGAAAGCAUGGGGAGCGAACAGG